GCCCUUGUAGCUCAAUGGCAAGAGCCUGAGGUGUGCCGGUCCAAGUCCGGCCAAGGGCA
Molecule: transfer RNA, 59 nt
Filed under: Gemmiger formicilis
Lineage: Bacteria; Bacillati; Bacillota; Clostridia; Eubacteriales; Oscillospiraceae
Also listed under: 1 other name
Description: tRNA-OTHER
Rfam family: tRNA
About the family: Transfer RNA (tRNA) molecules are approximately 80 nucleotides in length. Their secondary structure includes four short double-helical elements and three loops (D, anti-codon, and T loops).
Source: RNAcentral